GUCCACGCCGUAAACGAUGAAUGCCAGCCGUUAGUGGGUUUACUCACUAGUGGCGCAGCUAACGCUUUAAGCAUUCCGCCUGGGGAGUACGGUCGCAAGAUUAAAAACUCAAAGGAAUUGACGGGGGCCCCGCACAAGCGGUGGAGCAUGUGGUUUAAUUCGACGCAACGCGCAGAACCUUACCAGCCCCUUGACAUCCCGGUCGCGGACUCCAGAGAUGGAGUUCUUCAGUUCGGCUGGACCGGAGACAGGUGCUGCAUGGCUGUCGU
Molecule: ribosomal RNA, 269 nt
Filed under: uncultured bacterium
Lineage: Bacteria
Description: partial 16S ribosomal RNA
Rfam family: Bacterial small subunit ribosomal RNA
Source: RNAcentral